AUUGAACGCUGGCGGCAGGCCUAACACAUGCAAGUCGAGCGGAUGAAGGGAGCUUGCUCCUGGAUUCAGCGGCGGACGGGUGAGUAAUGCCUAGGAAUCUGCCUUGUAGUGGGGGAUAACGUCCGGAAACGGGCGCUAAUACCGCAUACGUCCUGAGGGAGAAAGUGGGGGAUCUUCGGACCUCACGCUAUCAGAUGAGCCUAGGUCGGAUUAGCUAGUUGGUGAGGUAAGGGCCUACCAAGGCGACGAUCCGUAACUGGUCUGAGAGGAUGAUCAGUCACACUGGAACUGAGACACGGUCCAGACUCCUACGGGAGGCAGCAGUGGGGAAUAUUGGACAAAGGGCGAAAGCCUGAUCCAGCCAUGCCGCGUGUGUGAAGAAGGUCUUCGGAUUGUAAAGCACUUUAAGUUGGGAGGAAGGGCAGUAAGUUAAUCCCUUGCUGUUCUGACGUUACCAACAGAAUAAGCACCGGCUAACUUCGUG
Molecule: ribosomal RNA, 484 nt
Filed under: uncultured bacterium
Lineage: Bacteria
Description: partial 16S ribosomal RNA
Rfam family: Bacterial small subunit ribosomal RNA
Source: RNAcentral